GUGGCGAUGGGUCCCAAUGAUGCUUUUGCGACACGUGCUUUUUCCACGGCAAAUAUCCCCUACUUGGGACAUGUUCACCAAACUAAUUCCACCGGCCUCCUCCAUCUGUGUGUCGGAAUCCCGCCGCAGGAGCCCACGGAGCCACAUGGCAGGUGUUUGCUUUGGGAGGUCCAUCCAAGACUAGCUAAGAGGGAGGAAAGCUGCACUUGGUCGUCUUGUCACAUCCGAGGACAAAUGGACUCCUCUUGCAACUUCAUCUAAGUGUGGCGCGUGGAGAGAGCGCGCACGGGGUCACAAGGUGACGGUGCUCCGUGCCACCAAGAGGGACCAAACCCGUGCAGCUUCCACAUCGGACCAGUCGUGCAGCUCUGGCGGGAUUCUGCAGCGGCAGCUUUGGCCUCAGAGGCGACGUCGGGAGGUGUGCCGUCGACUGCAGGUCACCAGUCACCAGACUGGUUGGUCCGACACUACGGCAAGUUCCCAGUGU
This is a long non-coding RNA of Pungitius pungitius (ninespine stickleback), 487 nucleotides long. RefSeq lists it as uncharacterized. The transcript has 4 exons. The record is from RefSeq and is a predicted model, not a curated record. Lineage: Eukaryota; Metazoa; Chordata; Actinopteri; Perciformes; Gasterosteidae.